Molecule: non-coding RNA, 30 nt
Filed under: Rattus norvegicus (Norway rat)
Lineage: Eukaryota; Metazoa; Chordata; Mammalia; Rodentia; Muridae
Source: RNAcentral
UGGCCUAGGUUCUUUGUGCUAUCAGUGAUC